UACGGAGGGUCCAAGCGUUAUCCGGAAUCAUUGGGUUUAAAGGGUCCGUAGGCGGUUUUGUAAGUCAGUGGUGAAAGCCCAUCGCUCAACGGUGGAACGGCCAUUGAUACUGCAAGACUUGAAUUAUUAGGAAGUAACUAGAAUAUGUAGUGUAGCGGUAAAAUGCUUAGAGAUUACAUGGAAUACCAAUUGCGAAGGCAGGUUACUACUAAUUGAUUGACGCUGAUGGACGAAAGCGUGGGGAGCGAACAGG
RNAcentral lists this ribosomal RNA (253 nucleotides) under uncultured bacterium. RNAcentral's name for it is "partial 16S ribosomal RNA". It matches the Rfam family "Bacterial small subunit ribosomal RNA", at positions 524 to 776 of the family's 1533-position model. The record is from RNAcentral.